This 242-nucleotide ribosomal RNA is filed under the name uncultured bacterium. Its description in RNAcentral is "partial 16S ribosomal RNA". It matches the Rfam family "Bacterial small subunit ribosomal RNA", at positions 126 to 352 of the family's 1533-position model. The record is from RNAcentral.
UUGCCUCGAGGAGAAAAGAAAGAUUCGCGAAAGCGGAGGUAAUACACCAUAGUCCCAGAACCUGUAUUGGUUCAGGGUAAAGAUAACACUCUAUUUAUAAGCUGUCCCCUUGAGAGAGGCCCGCGUCCUAUCAGGUUGUUGGUGGGGUAAUGGCCUACCAAGCCAAAGACGGGUAGCUGGCGUAAGAGCGUGACCAGCCACAUCGGAACUGAGACACUGUCCGGACUCCUACGGGAGGCAGC